This 570-nucleotide small RNA is filed under the name Pongo abelii (Sumatran orangutan). RNAcentral describes it as "processed transcript". Lineage: Eukaryota; Metazoa; Chordata; Mammalia; Primates; Hominidae. The record is from RNAcentral.
CCCGCACUGGUGCAGCCAUGUCCUCUUCCCUGUGGGAGCCUGCGCCCCUGCGCCGGGUGUUCGUGGUGGGGGUUGGCAUGACUAAGUUCGUGAAGCCUGGAGCUGAGAAUUCAAGAGACUACCCUGACUUGGCAGGAGAAGCAGGCAAGAAGGCUUUAGCUGAUGCACAGAUCCCUUAUUCAGCAGUGGACCAGGCAUGUGUUGGCUAUGUUUUUGGUGACUCUACCUGUGGGCAGAGGGCUAUCUAUCACAGUUUGGGAAUGACUGGAAUUCCUAUAAUCAAUGUCAACAAUAACUGUGCUACUGGUUCUACUGCUUUGUUUAUGGCCCGCCAGCUGAUUCAGGGUGGUGUGGCAGAAUGUGUCUUGGCUCUUGGGUUUGAGAAGAUGAAUAAGGGAAGCCUUGGAAUAAAAUUUUCAGAUAGAACCAUUCCCACUGAUAAGCAUGUUGACCUCCUGAUCAAUAAGUAUGGAUUGUCUGCUCACCCAAUUGCUCCUCAGAUGUUUGGGUAUGCUGGAAAAGAACAUAUGGAAAAAUAUGGUAUUCCCAGUUCCAAGAUGAAUACAGUUU